Molecule: ribosomal RNA, 252 nt
Filed under: uncultured bacterium
Lineage: Bacteria
Description: partial 16S ribosomal RNA
Rfam family: Bacterial small subunit ribosomal RNA
Source: RNAcentral
UACGUAGGGUGCGAGCGUUGUCCGGAAUUAUUGGGCGUAAAGAGCUCGUAGGCGGCUUGUCGCGUCGGAUGUGAAAGCCCGGGGCUUAACCCCGGGUCUGCAUUCGAUACGGGCAGGCUAGAGUUCGGUAGGGGAGAUCGGAAUUCCUGGUGUAGCGGUGAAAUGCGUAGAUAUCGGAAGGAACACCAGUGGCGAAAGCGGCUUCCUGGUCCAGCACCGACGUUCAGGCGCGAAAGCGUGGGGAGCAAACAG